GUAUGGGGGACUUUUGGGAUAGCAUUGGAAAUGUAAAUGAGGAAAAUACCUAAUUAAAAAAAAAUACUGUUUCUUUAGAUGCACGCACACGUUUCCCUUGCGUGUUGAAUCGCCUUUCUUCUGGUGUCUAGGAUUGCUUUCUUGCUUGAAAUCAAACCUCAGUCACUUCUUUUAGGGUUAAGUCUUAAACCUGUGACAAUUGGCUGACAUGCCCAUUAACAUAUCAAAGCUGAAAUUGGCCAUCAGGUUCUCCCAGCAUCCCUCAGUCCCUACCUAUUACAGGCUAUGGCUGGCAUACCCUGCCCCAUACUUGAACUCUCCAGCCCAGGGGCUAGGCUGCCCUCCCCCGCCCCUUCAGCUGCUUUUCUCUAUAUAAUAUAGCUAUUUUGGUUACCUGUUCUUUUGGCCAGUCUCUUGGCUCAGGCCACGCAUCUUGAUGGGCAGUUCCUCCCACUCUCUCCUCACAUGGCCAGCUCAGUCUGCCAUGUUCACUCUGGACUCUCCCAGAUGGCUCUGCCUCUGUCUGUGUGAUGUCUCUCCCUUACAUCUAUAAGAAAAACAUCAACCCCUUAGGAGCACUGGGCUCCUUCUUUCUCUUUUUCACUCAGGAUGGAGGGCACUUAGCUCACCUUUGAGUGAGAAUCAUUUUACUUGAUUCUUUCAUGGUACUUCUGAAAGAUGGUUUUGCUGCGGAUGUGAUUCCAGCUGCUCUCUUAGCACAUUGCAAAGGCUGCUCUACUGUCUUUUCUUUGAUUUCCUUUGUAGCUGGUUUACCUCUAUUUGCUCUUUUUCUUCUGGCGAAGACUUCUGUGAGUUUCUACAGGUUCACUAUGAUAUUAACACACACACACACACCAGGACUUAGCUUAAAGAUCUGUGCUUUUCAUUGGUUCUGGAAAUUUCUCUGCCAUUAUCUCUGUGAAUAUUGACCUUUGGCUUGACCCCUCUCCUCCCAUAGAACUCUAUUUAGAAGCUGGAGACAUGGCUCAAAGGUUAAGAGAAAUUGGUGCUCUUUCAGAGGACCUGAAUUUGGUCUUCAGCACCUAUGAUGGGCAGCUUACAGCUACCUGUAGCUCCAACUCCAGGGGAGCCUAUGUACUCUUCUAGCUUCUAGGGAUAACCACACACUCAAAAUCCCCACAUAAAAUAUAUGUCCAUAUAGAAUGUUUGCGUGGCUUUGCCAGGUUCCCCAAGGCACUGUCAGGUCCACUCCUUGUCUCCCCGUUAUUCACUGAUGUGUGAAUGCUAGCGAUCUUUAAGUCACCUUUUAGAUCAUCUUUAGAUCUCUAGCUCACCUUUAAAAGAUGCGGUCUUCUUCAGUGCAUGCGCAGGGCUUAGCACCACUCUCCAGGACACCUGAAUCAUACAGGGAAUGUGCAUCUGUGCUGCUCACUCAGCCAAGAUUAGCUUUGUGGUUACAGCCUUUAUGGUGAGGUUGCUUUUAGCUUUCGGCUUAAACCAAGAUUGGCUGGCUGGGCUUCCUCUAAGUCCCUCUGUGGGUUUGUUUCCAUUUGCCUUUUGUCCAGGGUCGAGUCCUUCCGAUUCCAACCUGGUACAGUGUUUCCCUUUGAGCCUCCAUGAGAGUUCACGUGUUCUACCGCUGUCAGCCCUGCCUUCCUCGAAAGGUUGAGAUGUUGAAUGGAUGUCGGCUUCAGUCUUUGCUCGCCUGCCUCUGUUCCUAGGCUUGGCUGGGUUUGGGCCUCAAAGGAUUUGAUUCUUUCCCGAUGCACCAGCUCAGAAGUGCAUUUGGGAUAUAUAUAGAUUACAUCUAUUUUAUUCAGGAUUUUUAGCUGUUGAUCGUGGCAGGAUUAUUGAGGACACCGCAGGGGACUAUUGUCAACCAUGUAGUUUUAUUUAUAGAGUGCAUUUUUUCCAUUCUUACAUCUUUAGUCUGCCCUCGGGGAGAUAGCAUGGUUGCGUGUGAGCAGUGCUUUGCCAGUGGCCACUCUUCCUACAGUGAAUUCCUUCAGCUGACAGGGGUCUGGGAUCUCCACUCCUGACCUCUGAAGAAGGGGCUAGCACUCCUUCUCCUGCGCCAGCCUCACUUCCCAGGCUCGGGCCUCCUCUGCCUUUUUUAUAAGCUCUAAUGGAGCUAAGGUCACUAUCUUCCUUUUGUCUCUGGCGUCCCAGCCUUGGGACAUCCCUCUCUCUGCCUUUCUGUAAGUCUUUUUUUUUUCCUUCUGAUUUCCUUUGAGAGUAAUUUUUCUUAUUGUGUCCCAAUUAACCAAAAGGGUAGAGAAAGCAUCCUUCCACCCCUGUGCUUUGUCAGUCCUUUUGGGGGAAGCCAUGUUCCUCUGCAGCAGCCCAGGAAGAAGAAGACAAGCAUACCCGGUGGGCGGCUGCAUUCAUAACCUUAGAGACUUUGUGGUCCCCUCUGGCAGCUCCUCCCACAUCCAGCUCGUAGCCUCUCAGCAGGCUGCGCCCCCAGAGGAGCCCAGAGGCCCUAGUGAUUUCCCCGCCCCUCCAGGAAGCCUCUGCUAAUUAUCACCUCCAGGAAAGAGUCAAGCCAUGAAAACAGUAAUUCUCAGGGGACCCGGAAAGGAAAUAACUCCCUUAGAAAGUUCUCAGCAUCUCAGAGGGCAGUUUGUGUCAUCACCACCCAACCCACCUCAAAUAAUCCAGUCGCUGGCCACUGCCGCGUAGCUGGCCAAUGCAGUGUAGUGAGGUAGCUGCAGCCACGCCCGACCGUAGUUAUUGAACCCUUAAAACAUGGCCAGUAAAGGACUGGGGGAUAGCUCAGUGGUUAAGAGCACUGGCUACUUUUCCAGAUGACCUGGGUUUGAUUCCCAGCACCUACCAGUGCCUUCUUCUGGUCUCUGAGGGCACCAGACAUGAAAGUGAUGCAGACAUACACUCAGGCAAAACCCACACACGUAAAGGGGUAGGGAACAGUGAAAUAUUAACUGGACUUCAAGUUCAGUACAAAAAUAUAAUUACCAUCAUGAUACUUCAAGUUUAUAUUGAAAUGAUAUUUUGAAUAUGUUGAAGAGAAUAACAUUUCCUUUUUUUUAUUUUAAUAUAUAUAUAUAUAUUUAAAGUGGCAACAAAGUUGGUUUUAUGGGUUGUGAGUUUUGCUCACUUUAUCUUCUGGGCAAUAGUAAUCUAAAAGAUAACUUGUUCCUUUUUUUUUUCCCCGUGGUUUGUUCUAUUUAGAUGCAAAUGAUAGUUCUGCCUGCCUGCAAUCUCUGCUUAUCAGAUGCUUUGACAUUUUUUGCCCGGGCAUAUAAAGAUAGAAGUGACUUCAUUCACUCCCCACUGAGAAUUUUCCAUGGUGCCACAGCCUGCAAGCACAAGCACAAAGAGAAAUAUUCUCAAAUCAGG
Molecule: long non-coding RNA, 3321 nt
Filed under: Mus musculus (house mouse)
Lineage: Eukaryota; Metazoa; Chordata; Mammalia; Rodentia; Muridae
Description: long non-coding RNA chr16:33703053-33706374
Rfam family: tRNA (bases 2726-2797)
Source: RNAcentral